This 327-nucleotide unclassified non-coding RNA is filed under the name soil metagenome. RNAcentral's name for it is "partial contains 5.8S ribosomal RNA, internal transcribed spacer 2, and large subunit ribosomal RNA". The stretch from base 1 to 119 matches the Rfam family "5.8S ribosomal RNA", at positions 35 to 154 of the family's 154-position model. The record is from RNAcentral.
GAUGAAGAACGCAGCGAAAUGCGAUAAGUAAUGUGAAUUGCAGAAUUCAGUGAAUCAUCGAAUCUUUGAACGCACAUUGCGCCCUUGGUAUUCCGAAGGGCAUGCCUGUUCGAGCGUCAUUAUAACCACUCAAGCUCUCGCUUGGUAUUGGGGUUCGCGGUCUCGCGGCCCCUAAAAUCAGUGGCGGUGCCUGUCGGCUCUACGCGUAGUAAUACUCCUCGCGAUUGAGUCCGGUAGGUGACUUGCCAGCAACCCCCAAAUUUUUCAGGUUGACCUCGGAUCAGGUAGGGAUACCCGCUGAACUUAAGCAUAUCAAUAAGCGGAGGA